Molecule: ribosomal RNA, 253 nt
Filed under: uncultured bacterium
Lineage: Bacteria
Description: partial 16S ribosomal RNA
Rfam family: Bacterial small subunit ribosomal RNA
Source: RNAcentral
UACGUAGGGGGCAAGCGUUGUCCGGAUUCAUUGGGCGUAAAGAGCGUGUAGGCGGCCAGGUAGGUCGGUUGUGAAAACUGGAGGCUCAACCUUCAGACGUCGGCCGAAACCAUCUGGCUAGAGUCCGGGAGAGGAGAGUGGAAUUCCUGGUGUAGCGGUGAAAUGCGCAGAUAUCAGGAAGAACACCGGUGGCGAAAGCGGCUCUCUGGAACGGGAUUGACGCUGAGACGCGAAAGCGUGGGGAGCGAACAGG